RNAcentral lists this ribosomal RNA (403 nucleotides) under Trigonopterus sp. 492 MB-2015. RNAcentral describes it as "eukaryotic LSU rRNA". It matches the Rfam family "Eukaryotic large subunit ribosomal RNA", at positions 676 to 1023 of the family's 3401-position model. The record is from RNAcentral. Lineage: Eukaryota; Metazoa; Arthropoda; Insecta; Coleoptera; Curculionidae.
UAGCAUGUGCGCGAGUCAUUGGGAUUAUUAAUUAAACCUAAAGGCGUAAUGAAAGUGAAGGUUCUCCUUCAUUGCGAGAACCUAGGGAGGACGGGCGGUUUUUUUCACCCUUAAAAGUGGCCGUUCCGCACUCCCGGGGCGUCUCGUUCUCAUCGCGAGAAGAGGCGCACCAAGAGCGUACACGCUGGGACCCGAAAGAUGGUGAACUAUGCCUGGUCAGGACGAAGUCAGGGGAAACCCUGAUGGAGGUCCGUAGCGAUUCUGACGUGCAAAUCGAUCGUCGGAACUGGGUAUAGGGGCGAAAGACUAAUCGAACCAUCUAGUAGCUGGUUCCCUCCGAAGUUUCCCUCAGGAUAGCUGGCGCUCGUUGCGCACGAGUCUCAUCCGGUAAAGCGAAUGAUUA